Molecule: ribosomal RNA, 418 nt
Filed under: uncultured bacterium
Lineage: Bacteria
Description: bacterial SSU rRNA
Rfam family: Bacterial small subunit ribosomal RNA
Source: RNAcentral
GGGCCCGCACAAGCGGUGGAGUAUGUGGUUUAAUUCGAUGCAACGCGAAGAACCUUACCAGGGUUUGAAAUCAUUCCAAAACUCCUUGAAAGAGGAGCCUCCUUCGGGAUGGAAUGACAGGUGGUGCAUGGCUGUCGUCAGCUCGUGUUGUGAAAUGUCGAGUUAAGUCUCGUAACGAGCGCAACCCAUGUCUCUUGUUGCUGUAUCAGUGCUUAAGAGAGACUGCCGAUCAACAUCGGAGGAAGGUGUGGAUGAUGUCAAGUCAGCAUGCCCCUUACAUCCUGGGCUACACACGUACUACAAUGGGAGGGACAAUGGGCUGCAAACCUGCGAAGGCUAGCCAAUCUCAAAAACCCUCUCUCAGUUCGGAUUGCACUCUGCAACUCGAGUGCAUGAAGGUGGAAUCGCUAGUAAUCGC